Molecule: ribosomal RNA, 406 nt
Filed under: uncultured bacterium
Lineage: Bacteria
Description: partial 16S ribosomal RNA
Rfam family: Bacterial small subunit ribosomal RNA
Source: RNAcentral
AUUGAACGCUGGCGGCAGGCCUAACACAUGCAAGUCGAGCGAGUGGCGGACGGGUGAGUAAUGUAUGGGGAACUGCCCGAUGGAGGGGGAUAACUACUGGAAACGGUAGCUAAUACCGCAUACUAUCGGAUGAACCCAGAUGGGAUUAGCUAGUUGGUGGGGUAAAGGCUCACCAAGGCGACGAUCCCUAGCUGGUCUGCGAGGAUGAUCAGCCACACUGGGACUGAGACACGGCCCCGACGCCUACGGGAGGCAGCAGUGGGGAAUAUUGCACAAUGGGCGCAAGCCUGAUGCAGCCAUGCCGCGUGUAUGAAGAAGGCCUUAGGGUUGUAAAGUACUUUCAGCGGGGAGGCGUUACCCGCAGAAGAAGCACCGGCUAACUCCGUGCCAGCAGCCGCGGUAAUAC